GAUGAAGAACGCAGCGAAAUGCGAUAAGUAAUGUGAAUUGCAGAAUUCAGUGAAUCAUCGAAUCUUUGAACGCACAUUGCGCCCGCCAGUAUUCUGGCGGGCAUGCCUGUUCGAGCGUCAUUUCAACCAUCAAGCCCCCGGCUUGUGUUGGGGACCUGCGGCUGCCGCAGGCCCUGAAAAGCAGUGGCGGGCUCGCUGUCACACCGAGCGUAGUAGCAUACAUCUUGCUCUGGGCGUGCUGCGGGUUCCGGCCGUUAAACCACCUUCAUAACCCAAGGUUGACCUCGGAUCAGGUAGGAAGACCCGCUGAACUUAAGCAUAUCAAUAAGCGGAGGA
Molecule: unclassified non-coding RNA, 336 nt
Filed under: soil metagenome
Description: partial contains 5.8S ribosomal RNA, internal transcribed spacer 2, and large subunit ribosomal RNA
Rfam family: 5.8S ribosomal RNA (bases 1-120)
Source: RNAcentral